AACCUACUCCCUUCGUUCCGAAUUACUUGUCGUAGGUAUGGAUGUAUCUAAAUGUAUUUUAGUUUUAGAUACAUCCAUUUCUGUGACGAGUAAUUUGAAACAGAGGAAGUAUAUU
This is a non-coding RNA of Triticum aestivum (bread wheat), 115 nucleotides long. The record is from Rfam. Lineage: Eukaryota; Viridiplantae; Streptophyta; Magnoliopsida; Poales; Poaceae.